GAGUGGCGAACGGGUGAGUAACGCGUGAGGAACCUGCCUCAAAGAGGGGGACAACAGUUGGAAACGACUGCUAAUACCGCAUAAGCCCACGGCUCGACAUCGAGCAGAGGGAAAAGGAGCAAUCCGCUUUGAGAUGGCCUCGCGUCCGAUUAGCUAGUUGGUGAGGUAACGGCCCACCAAGGCGACGAUCGGUAGCCGGACUGAGAGGUUGAACGGCCACAUUGGGACUGAGACACGGCCCAGACUCCUACGGGAGGCAGCAGUGGGGAAUAUUGCACAAUGGGGGAAACCCUGAUGCAGCGACGCCGCGUGGAGGAAGAAGGUCUUCGGAUUGUAAACUCCUGUUGUUGAGGAAGAUAAUGACGGUACUCAACAAGGAAGUGACGGCUAACUACGUGCCAGCAGCCGCGGUAAAACGUAGGUCACAAGCGUUGUCCGGAAUUACUGGGUGUAAAGGGAGCGCAGGCGGGAAGACAAGUUGGAAGUGAAAUCCAUGGGCUCAACCCACGAACUGCUUUCAAAACUGUUUUUCUUGAGUAGUGCAGAGGUAGGCGGAAUUCCCGGUGUAGCGGUGGAAUGCGUAGAUAUCGGGAGGAACACCAGUGGCGAAGGCGGC
This 616-nucleotide ribosomal RNA is filed under the name uncultured Lachnospiraceae bacterium. RNAcentral's name for it is "bacterial SSU rRNA". It matches the Rfam family "Bacterial small subunit ribosomal RNA", at positions 93 to 725 of the family's 1533-position model. The record is from RNAcentral. Lineage: Bacteria; Bacillati; Bacillota; Clostridia; Lachnospirales; Lachnospiraceae.